UCACCUUGAACUCUUAGGCUGCUAGAGAAUCGGAGUUUUACCGGACUUAUUUCUUCUCCAAGAUUCAAGAUUUCGGUAGAGAAUCUUAGUGCGUGGGAUUUGGUGAACCCAACUCUGUAGCUCGGAGCCAGGAGAAGAUCAAGUUUAGAUUUGGGGGUGUCAGGGAGUCGUAUUGUCUGCGCUAUCAGUAUC
Long non-coding RNA from Dioscorea cayenensis subsp. rotundata (Guinea yam), 192 nucleotides. RefSeq lists it as uncharacterized. The transcript is spliced from 3 exons. The record is from RefSeq and is a predicted model, not a curated record. NCBI's taxonomy places the organism in Eukaryota, Viridiplantae, Streptophyta, Magnoliopsida, Dioscoreales, Dioscoreaceae.